AACGAACGCUGGCGGCAGGCCUAGCACAUGCAAGUCGAACGAAGUCUUCGGACUUAGUGGCGCACGGGUGAGUAACACGUGGGAAUAUACCUUUCGCUGGGGGAUAACAUCGGGAAACUGAUGCUAAUACCGCAUACGCCCUUCGGGGGAAAGAUUUAUCGGCGAAAGAUUAGCCCGCGUCCGAUUAGCUAGUUGGUGAGGUAAUGGCUCACCAAGGCCCCGAUCGGUAGCUGGUCUGAGAGGAUGACCAGCCACACUGGGACUGAGACACGGCCCAGACUCCUACGGGAGGCAGCAGUGGGGAAUAUUGGACAAUGGGCGCAAGCCUGAUCCAGCCAUGCCGCGUGAGUGAUGAAGGCCUUAGGGUUGUAAAGCUCUUUCACCCACGACGAUGAUGACGGUAGUGGGAGAAGAAGCCCCGGCUAACUUCGUGCCAGCAGCCGCCGUAA
This 449-nucleotide ribosomal RNA is filed under the name uncultured bacterium. Its description in RNAcentral is "partial 16S ribosomal RNA". It matches the Rfam family "Bacterial small subunit ribosomal RNA", at positions 29 to 523 of the family's 1533-position model. The record is from RNAcentral.